RNAcentral lists this long non-coding RNA (344 nucleotides) under Mytilus galloprovincialis (Mediterranean mussel). The record is from RNAcentral. Lineage: Eukaryota; Metazoa; Mollusca; Bivalvia; Mytilida; Mytilidae.
GUCUGUUUGAUUUUAUAUGCUUCCAGCACUAGCAUUUGAUGUAGAUGCUGUUGUUAAAAUAAUAAUGUACUAGAGCAUCUUACUAUUACUGGGAUGCUAGUUUUGCAUAUAUUUUUUUUUUAAAUAUUUUUUUAUUUUUUGGGGAUGCUGGAUUUCCUAUAUAUUGAAAUGCUGGCAUCCAGUCAUAUUGGGAUGCUGGCAUCCCGUUUUAUUGAGAUGCUGGCAUCCCGUUUUAUUGGGAUGCUGGCAUCCAGUCAUAUUGGGAUGCUGGCAUCCCGUUUUAUUGAGAUGCUGGCAUCCCGUUUUAUUGGGAUGCUGGCAUCCCGUUAUAUUGAGAUGCUUGC